UUAGACAAUGGGCGCAAGCCUGAUCUAGCCAUGCCGCGUGUGUGAUGAAGGUCUUAGGAUCGUAAAGCACUUUCGCCAGGGAUGAUAAUGACAGUACCUGGUAAAGAAACCCCGGCUAACUCCGUGCCAGCAGCCGCGGUAAUACGGAGGGGGUUAGCGUUGUUCGGAAUUACUGGGCGUAAAGCGUACGUAGGCGGAUCAGAAAGUAAGGGGUGAAAUCCCAGGGCUCAACCCUGGAACUGCCUCUUAAACUCCUGGUCUUGAGUUCGAGAGAGGUGAGUGGAAUUCCAAGUGUAGAGGUGAAAUUCGUAGAUAUUUGGAGGAACACCAGUGGCGAAGGCGGCUCACUGGCUCGAUACUGACGCUGAGGUACGAAAGUGUGGGGAGCAAACAGGAUUAGAUACCCUGGUAGUCCACACCGUAAACGAUGAAUGCCAGUCGUCGGGCAGUAUACUGUUCGGUGACACACCUAACGGAUAAGCA
RNAcentral lists this ribosomal RNA (483 nucleotides) under alpha proteobacterium HA-mar-Is13-28. RNAcentral's name for it is "bacterial SSU rRNA". It matches the Rfam family "Bacterial small subunit ribosomal RNA", at positions 364 to 866 of the family's 1533-position model. The record is from RNAcentral. Lineage: Bacteria; Pseudomonadati; Pseudomonadota; Alphaproteobacteria.